GAUGAACGCUAGCUACAGGCUUAACACAUGCAAGUCGAGGGGAAACGAUAGAGAAAGCUUGCUUUUUCCAGGCGUCGACCGGCGCACGGGUGAGUAACGCGUAUCCAACCUGCCCACCACUUGGGGAUAACCUUGCGAAAGUAAGACUAAUACCCAAUGAUAUCUUAAGAAGACAUCUGAAUGAGAUUAAAGAUUUAUCGGUGAUGGAUGGGGAUGCGUCUGAUUAGCUUGUUGGCGGGGUAACGGCCCACCAAGGCGACGAUCAGUAGGGGUUCUGAGAGGAAGGUCCCCCACAUUGGAACUGAGACACGGUCCAAACUCCUACGGGAGGCAGCAGUGAGGAAUAUUGGUCAAUGGGCGAGAGCCUGAACCAGCCAAGUAGCGUGCAGGAUGACGGCCCUAUGGGUUGUAAACUGCUUUUAUAAGGGAAUAAAGUGAGUCUCGUGAGGCUUUUUGCAUGUACCUUAUGAAUAAGGACCGGCUAAUUCCGUGCCAGCCGCCGCGGUAA
RNAcentral lists this ribosomal RNA (508 nucleotides) under uncultured bacterium. RNAcentral's name for it is "partial 16S ribosomal RNA". It matches the Rfam family "Bacterial small subunit ribosomal RNA", at positions 28 to 523 of the family's 1533-position model. The record is from RNAcentral.